CAAUAUUCAUUGAAGAUUCAUCCAUGUCUUCAAUGGCAUGAUAGUGCAUUUCUUUCUAUUGAUGCAUAGUGUUCCAUUGUAUGGAUGUACCACAGUUAAUUUCUUCAUUCACCUUUUGACAGAUAUGAUGACUACUUCCAGUUUUUGAUGAGUAUGAACAGAACUCCCAUGACCAUUCACGUGCAGGUGUGCAAGCUUUUGUAUAGGAAGAAAUUUUCAAGUCAAUUGGGUAAAUACUCAGAAACACAAAUGAUGAGGGAUAAGAACUCUGAAAUACAAAGAACCAAAAUUAUCAACUGCAAAAUAUAUGCAUAAUUGAGAAACAAUCUUAUUAACCAAGUAAGUGAAGACCCAGUUCCUUUGCACCCCCAACCUCCUCAAAAUGAUGGAGUUGGCUACGAGAGGAACCUGAGGUGGAGACAUCCUCUCACACAGAAGACUCAACAUAGAAGAAUAGAGGAAGGAAGAGGAGCUGCACAAAUAGACAGUCAGAGGUAGAAGAGAGGAUAUACAAAUUUAUUUCAUGAAGCUGGCAUACUUCCAUAUCAAAAUCCGGAAAGGAUAAACUCACCAAAAAAGAAAAAGGAAAAGGAGAAGGAUACAAAAAAAAAUAGGUCCCUAAUGCUUGCUGUCCAUGGUUAAAUGAGCAUAAUUUUGGAUUGCUAUUUCCCUGCACAUAGAAUACUAAAGAUAAUCAAAUACAAUAUCUCAUAAUGUAUGCUCCUGUUCUUUCAAAA
RNAcentral lists this long non-coding RNA (737 nucleotides) under Equus asinus (donkey). Its description in RNAcentral is "lncRNA (ENSEASG00005029267.1)". The record is from RNAcentral. Lineage: Eukaryota; Metazoa; Chordata; Mammalia; Perissodactyla; Equidae.